This is a long non-coding RNA of Nycticebus coucang (slow loris), 2034 nucleotides long. RefSeq lists it as uncharacterized. Lineage: Eukaryota; Metazoa; Chordata; Mammalia; Primates; Lorisidae. The transcript is spliced from 3 exons. The record is from RefSeq and is a predicted model, not a curated record.
CACAUUGGUUAGGGGGACAGCAAGUGUUCGCAAACCACACGUUCAUAACUGCGUGCAGUGCUGUUAGCUCAGGCUCUGGGGUGGCCCAGUUUCCAAGUCUGCUCCGUGUCCUUUACCAGCUCCAAAUCUGUCCUCCCUCCAGUGGCUUGGGUUAGGGACCCCAAACGUCUGGCCCAAGGUGAGGCCUUGGUGAAAACACUGGUUGCCCCCCAAGUGUCUGGGACACUGGGCUCAGCUCUGAGCUCAGCUCUAGAUUUAGUAUCAGGCUGACUCACUGCUCCUUCCCCCACUAGAAGGGCUCUGGCUGUUGUAGGUCACUGCCCAGCUGGGUACUGUGUACACACACAAAGGCAUGCCCAGGUCUUCCCUUCCCCUUUGCCCCUUCUCCUCUGACCCACCACAGCCUCCAGAUUUGGGGAGUCCUGGUUCCAGAGGCCUUAGGGCCAAAGUCAUUUCCAGCAGUCCCUCCACAGCAGCGUGUGCUCCCAGGGAAGGCAAACCUUGAUGAAAAGGCCAUAGUGCUGAAGGUAACCUGCACCCUGGGUCAGAGAAGAAAUGGGGAGCAGGUCUCUCAGGGACUCGAGUCUUCCUAAAGGUCUGGAACCCUCAGAAUUUGGAUGGGAAGAAGCCCUUAGCACAGUAAACCCGAGGUGCAGACCUAUGACCUGGACCCCAGCAACUCUGCCUUCUGCCUGCAACACACAAUGACCUGCCAGGGGCAAGAGGCCUGGAGAACCAUAAAGUUGCCCCAUUUGUGGAUAGAAGCUAGGCCUCCUGAAAAUCAUCAGCCAAAAUCUGCCUCAGCCUAGGGAGGGGCUACAUUCAACGAAUCAGUUCAACUCAGUGAGUUUAAGAAUUGGUUUAUUCUUAUAAAUGCUUAUAAUGAAUCAAUAGCUAAAAAUUAGAAAAUAUUUUGUUGUCAAUUAUUUUUAAUUUGCUUUGUGGAUUGUGUUUUAGUAUUCAGUUAAUAUACUGGAGACUUUAAUUAACUCAUUUACUCUUUGAUCUGUCAUUCAAGUUUGCCUAUUUGUCCAGGGAGGUCCCCCUGGGCCCCGGCUAUGAGGACACCAGGUCCCUUCACCUGUUCCUAUGAGCAUGGCUCUGAACAUAAACAUGGGUUCUCCCCAAAGGAAAUUCUCUCUAUGGCUUUUAUGUAGAAUUGCCUGAAUAUUUUUCCUCUCUUCAUUUUUCACUGGAUUUUGACUAAGCUUUGCUUAUGAUCAAGAACAAGUUAACCGGGGUGGUGCCUGUGGCUCAAGGAGUAGGGCGCCAGCCCCAUAUACCAGCCCCAUAUACCGGAGGUGGUGUGUUUAAACCCAGCCCCGGCCAAAAACUGCGAAAAAAGAAAAGCAAGUUAAUUUUAUUCAGUAUAAACCAGAUAAGGAACUCAGGCCUCAAAGAUGGUGGCAAUGUUGCUGCUACAGUCACCGCAGAGUUGGGAACUACUGGCUUUGUGGAGCAAGAGUGCUCAGAGCCAAGACCUUUCUUUCCUGACCUGUUCCCUGCCUAGAGCUUUCAUCCAUUUCCAGCAACAUUAAUUACAGAAUAUGGAACUCCUGAACAAGACAGGCCCUACACAAGGUAUUUAUUUUCUAAAAUAAAUCUUACAACAAUCUCAUGAGAUAGGAAUUAUUAUUAUUCCCAUUUUACUGAUGAGGAAAAAGACUCAGGAAAAGAUUAAGUCACAGAACUUGUAAAUGGUAGAACUCAGGUUUGAACCAAGUUGGUCUGACUCCUAACCUGUGUUACCCCUUGGUAUCCACCUUUUCUCCUAUAUCAGGCUGUCAUAGAGGGGCUGAGUCAUCCUUAAGUUGCCAAAUCUGGUUGAUAUACUUCAUCAGCGUCCAGGUUUAGGAAAUCUGGGUUAACCCAAAGCAUGGAUUGAUAGUGCCAUGUUUACUAGUGCUUAACUUUUGCAAAUAUAAGUUUCUGGUCUUGCAAAAGGAGACACAACCAUGAUCCCACCAACUCUGGGGCUCUAACUACCUCCUCCCUCUGUGGCACUUCUGACCUCUUUCCUUGAGGGAAGGAAGA